Molecule: long non-coding RNA, 431 nt
Filed under: Manihot esculenta (cassava)
Lineage: Eukaryota; Viridiplantae; Streptophyta; Magnoliopsida; Malpighiales; Euphorbiaceae
Description: long non-coding RNA (MESC_LNC002661)
Source: RNAcentral
UUCAAGAUUCUAACUACAAACAGUAUCACUACAAGAAAUGUGAUAUUAAGUAGCACCAAACUCCAUCCAAAGUGCUUGACAGAAUUAGCUUUCGUAUAAAACGAAGUCUCACCUGUUUUAGGAGUGUGAAAUCUAACACAUCCGGCUGUAUUAGGGUUAGAUUGCCAGCUUGGGUGGGUCAGGCUACUUCCUAAGCAAAUUAAUUCAAAGAAAAAAAAUAAAAGCAAAGGGACCCCUUAGAUCGAUGGGUCAUCCAACUCGCCAAAUCAUCUGUGCUUGAGUUUGAAAUAGAGCCUCAUGACCUCCUCUUCGCUUAGCAAUGGUGGAAGUUUCAGCAGAUCUCUCUUUUAUUACGCUAUAUAUAUAUAUAUAUACCAAUAAAGAUUCGUAGUAGACAUCCAUGGUCGCGACAGUGAUUGAAGUUUUCUUCC